Long non-coding RNA from Zalophus californianus (California sea lion), 2053 nucleotides. RefSeq lists it as uncharacterized. Lineage: Eukaryota; Metazoa; Chordata; Mammalia; Carnivora; Otariidae. The record is from RefSeq and is a predicted model, not a curated record. The transcript is spliced from 4 exons.
UGUAUGGUGAUUAACAUAACAAUAAAAUUUUAAAAAAGCAAAAACUAACGAUGUAAUGUAUGAUUAACAAUAAAAUUUUAAAAAGUAAAAAAAAGAAACAAAUGAUCUAUAUUAUUUCAGGAUCUCAAAAUUGUUUAUUAAACACAUGGAAAUUUAUGUUUGAGAAUUUCUCCCUUCCAAAUAUAAUUUAUUACUGAGUUCCUGAAGGGUAAUACAAUAUCAUUACUUAUUCAAUACAUAUAAUGAAUAUACACUUGCUAUAUUGUCAUAAGACACUAAAAACUAAAUUUUUUUUUUUUUAAAGAUUUUAUUUAUUUUUUUUGACAGAGACACAGCGAGAGAGGGAACACAAGCAGGGGGAGUGGGAGAGAGAGAAGCAGGCUUCCUGCUGAGCAGGGAGCCCGAUGAGGGGCUCGAUUCCAGGACACUGGGAUCAUGACCUGAGCCAAAGGCAGAUGCUUAACGACUGAGCCACCCAGGCACCCCCAAAACAGUUAAGUUUUGAUGCUUUCAACAUUCACUGUCUUUGAGGUUUAAAACUAGUUACCAUGUUCUCUUAUCUAUGGAUUAAGUUACCUGCAUCAACCACAGUCCAGAAGCAGAUGAUCCUCCUCCUAACAUAUCAUAAGGUCAGUAGUAGACUAACACUACAUCACAAUGCCUACAUCACUCACCUCACUUAAUUUCAUCAUGUAGGUAUUUUAUCAUCUCACACAUCAUCACAAGAAAGGGGAGUACAGUACAAUAAGGUAUUUUGAGAGACCAUAUUUAUAUAACUUAUAGAAUAUUAUAAUCAUUCUAUUUUGUAAUUAUUGCUGUUAAUCUCUCACCUCGCCUAAUUUAUAAAUUAAACUAUCAUAGAUAUGUAUGUAUAAGAAAAAACAGUGUAUACAGAGUUCAGUAUUAUCCGUGGUUUCAGGAACCCACUGGGAAUCUUGGAAUGUAUCACCUGCAGACAAAGGGCCAGGGGGCUGGGGGGUAUUACUGUAUUUUUAUGUAGAUUGUCCAACAGUACUUAAAGCUAUGUCCACAUUAAAAUGUUUUUAUGGUUAGUUUUUACAUUUACUACCCUUUUGGUGGGUGGGGGGGAUAGAUGAAAUAGGAGAUGGGGAUUAAGCAGUACACUUGUGAUGAGCACAGGGUGAUGUAUUGAAUUGCUGAAUCACUGCAUUGUACACCUGAAACGGACAGAACACUGUAUGGUAACUAUAUUGAAAUUAAAAUAAAAACUUAAUAAAAAUUUUACUACCCUUUUCUUAUGGACACAGAACAUAGAGAGUAUACAAAUCAUGACUACACAGUUCAAUAAAUUUCAAUCAAGUAAACAUACCCAUGUAAUCAACUAUCACCUAGAUAAAAAUAGAAGACUGCAGAAACCCUUCUUGCAACCUUCCCAGUCACUAUCCCCCUUAAAUUUUAACAUCAUAGAUUAGUUUCGCCUGUUAUUUUUAACUUUACAUAGAAUUAUACAAUAUAUACCUUUUAUCUCGUUUCUUUUAUUCAACAUGUUUGUAAAACCUAUCCAUGUUGUAUGUAGCUCAUUCUCAUAAAAUUUUAGAGUAUCUACAAAACUAAAGAUUCUUUAUUUGUAUCUUCCUAUGUUCUAUUUACACUAGCUUGUAAAAAUAUGAUCACAAAGAAAUUAAAAACUGGUGAGAAAAAUAAUCAGCAACACUUCUCUAACGUCAUCAUGUAAGGAAACUUGUAUAGAUAAUCUUAGCUGACAGCCAGCAUCCACUGCCAGAUGUUACUAAAGACCUUCACAGCCCCACUGGCCCUCCUCAGAAUUGUCCAGCUGCUGAAAUUCUCAGGAAACGGGUUUAGAAAGAGGAGAAGGUGGCUUCUGCCAUUGAGUGAAGACUCAAGGACGGUUUGCAGAUUUUGAAGCUAUGUAAGAGAUUCAAAAAUAUUUACUGAUCUUGAAGAGAAGAUGAAAGGUUGAAGAGAAAGUAUAAAUAGGAGCUAAGCACAUGGCUGGGAACCACCAACCACCAAUUUUUUAAGUCUUGCGAGAGAAAAAAAAAAAAAAAGAAUUGAUGAAGCAGAAGCUGUG